ACCAAGGGAAUAGGACUUCAAUUGGAAGCUGUUCACUAGAAGGAAGAUUUCCUCCAGAUCCCAACAAGUCCUGCACUAGUUACAGUUGCCAAGGCAGUUAGAGCCAGGACUUCAUUAACUGACCCCAGAGGGUCAUAUCCUCAAAACCUGAGCUGCUGGACUUUUAGGAGAAGGGGUUUCAGUUAUUAUAGCAACCAUCACAUGUGGAAUUUAUCUGGAACCCAGCAUCAGAACUGCAUUCCUAGCCUACAAAUGUCUCAUGGGGAGCAGAUAUCAUUCCAAGCCCCAUGAUUCCUCUGAGGAUAGAAGCGGGGAAGAGUGAUCACUUAGCCCCUAUAAAGCCUUUGUUGAUCAGUCCAGGAGACAGAUUAAAUGAAACAGCACCGAACGAAAUAGACUACAUCAAAGGAGCAUAAAAUCACCUUUGGAGGAACAGAAGGACUCCCCAGUACCCCACAGAGGCAAAGGUACGUGGGGCUUGAACAUUUCAACACUAAAAUAAGAAGGAAAAGCUUGCACAGAAAAGUGAACUGAGCCGCCCUUCCCCCACCCCACCUCCCCCACUAAACCAGAGUGAGCUACCUGAGCUCUCACCGGGACAGUGAGUGAGUGGGGAGCGUCUCUGUCUGGGGGGGCACUCCAGGGUCCUUGGGAUCUGGGGACUGCCAGGAAAAAACGUCUCAGGGCGCUUUCACUGGAGAAGCCAGCGGACUUCGGGCGGGCUGCGCUGAACAAGGCGCGCUGAUUAUCUGGGCGGAGCUGAAUACCUGGGCUCGGAGGCUGGGAAGAACUAGUCUGAAGCAACCUAAAUUCACAGAAAAACCACUCUUAUAACCCAGACCCCAGACCAAAAAGGAAAGG
This 861-nucleotide long non-coding RNA is filed under the name Monodelphis domestica (gray short-tailed opossum). Its description in RNAcentral is "lncRNA (ENSMODG00000051331.1)". Lineage: Eukaryota; Metazoa; Chordata; Mammalia; Didelphimorphia; Didelphidae. The record is from RNAcentral.